GAAGAAGAAGAAGAAGAAGCAGAGAAGUGGGUAUGGGUGCUGUAAUGGGGAUUUCGUUAAAGCAAAGAAGGUGGUCCUCCUUCAAUUUACAAAAGCCAAGAAAUAUCUGAAGCACCGCAGGACAAAAUCCAUUAAGGGGCCUUCUUCUUCUGAGAAUGCAAGUACUGCUACUAAUAUAGGUAAGAGGGUUGUUGUUGGUUGUUGCUUUUGUUUGAAGCAACCUUCUACUUUGGAAUCUCCUGCUGAGUCUCAAACAAGUGAUCCUAAUGAUCCUAACUUCACCUUUGAUAAGUUGAGGACUUUGAUUGAGACGAAUGAUUUCUAUUCCAAAGAAUGCAACCACCAUUGAAAUGCUACUUCUUUCUCCUCUUCUAAUAAAAAUUCUGGGUGAAAGUUAAGGGUUUUUGCUAAAUUGAUUUGAAAUCAAGCUUCAGAGAGGUUGCAGCCUUGCGGGAAUUAAUAUAAAAUCAUAUUGGGUUGAUGAAUUUUGUGUUGUUAGAAAGAUUGGCUUGCUUUCUAUAAUUCUAUUGGGUUUUAUCGGCUUUGGGCAUUCAUUCAUUCAUUUAUUGGCGUUCUAUGUGAUGAGGACCAAGUGUGAUCAUAUAUAUAUAUAUAUUGGUUUCUUGAAUUUUCUCUGAGGUUUACCCAUGAACAAAUGGUGGAGCUUCAACCUUGUCUUCUCAACAAUUAUUCACCUUGGAUGAUUGGAAGCAACCUUAUGAUCUAUCAUACAUGCCUCUGGGAGUUUUGUCCACGUUAUCUGAGGAACGAAAUUCUGCUUGCGUUGGAACUGCACACGAAAAUUUCAGAUACAAGCAUAUUCGAACUACUGAAAUUUACAAGGGUACACACAUUAUAGGACAAAUGCUAGUGUGAAAUAAUUUGGUGGUACCCUUGGAAUUCUUCAAAUAAAUCUUGUUUCUUUUACAUGUGAUAUGGUGUUUAUCUGAUUCAUGGGCUGUGUUAGUAAUCUUCUAAGAAUCCAUUGACUGCGUUUUGGAAGUUCCUGAUCCUAUAAGGUGCAUGAUCAUAAUAUUUCUGGAUGAAAGAUGAAAUACAAAUGCAAUAUCUAUGGACUAAUUGGCGUCCUAACUACUUCCUCUGAGGUAAUGAGGUUUCUUUACGUUGGAACACUGUCAGAAAUCAGAAUAAUGCUUAUAGCAUAAAAGCAAUGCGCCUGUAUUUGAGCUUGAAUUUUACUUACAGGAAGAGGCCAUGAAGACCUUAUAGCAAUGAGGCACAUCAUCUCUGAUUAUUGUCAUGCACCUGUUGGAAAGUUUCCAGGAAUAAGUAAUUCUCAAUGUGUGCGUCCGUUAAGCUAAUCUGUAUUCGAUUCUGGAUUACGGCAUGUUUGUGCAGAACAAACAUGAAGGAUCUUAUCCAGGCUUGAAAUUGGGAGGGCAUUGAGUAUCUUUAAUGGUAGGGUUUGGUGAUUCUUGAUUGAAACUCUUUCAAGUAAAUAAGCCAUAUGAUUAAGUUCAGAUGGGAAUUCAUGACUGUAAUUGCACAUCAUUAUUACUUUGUGCAGAAACACCAUCUAAUGUUAUGGUGCUGUCACUAAUCACAGAAGUUGCAUUAAUUAUGAUCAAAUUUCUUAAAGAUAUAUUCUUUCAUUAAU
Molecule: unclassified non-coding RNA, 1618 nt
Filed under: Hevea brasiliensis (rubber tree)
Lineage: Eukaryota; Viridiplantae; Streptophyta; Magnoliopsida; Malpighiales; Euphorbiaceae
Source: RNAcentral